GAUGAAGAACGUAGCAAAAUGCGAUAAGUAAUGUGAAUUGCAGAAUUCAGUGAAUCAUCGAAUCUUUGAACGCACAUUGCGCCCGCCAGUAUUCUGGCGGGCAUGCCUGUUCGAGCGUCAUUUCAACCCUCAAGCACAGCUUGGUGUUGGGACUCGCGUUAAUUCGCGUUCCUCAAAUUGAUUGGUGGUCACGUCGAGCUUCCAUAGCGUAGUAGUAAAACCCUCGUUACUGGUAAUCGUCGCGGCCACGCCGUUAAACCCCAACUUCUGAAUGUUGACCUCGGAUCAGGUAGGAAUACCCGCUGAACUUAAGCAUAUCAAUAAGCGGAGGA
This 332-nucleotide unclassified non-coding RNA is filed under the name soil metagenome. RNAcentral's name for it is "partial contains 5.8S ribosomal RNA, internal transcribed spacer 2, and large subunit ribosomal RNA". The stretch from base 1 to 120 matches the Rfam family "5.8S ribosomal RNA", at positions 35 to 154 of the family's 154-position model. The record is from RNAcentral.